This is a long non-coding RNA of Lutra lutra (Eurasian river otter), 1281 nucleotides long. RefSeq lists it as uncharacterized. The transcript is spliced from 3 exons. Lineage: Eukaryota; Metazoa; Chordata; Mammalia; Carnivora; Mustelidae. The record is from RefSeq and is a predicted model, not a curated record.
GCGGGGGCGUGUGUGGCCGUCGGGGCGGGGUCCCCGCGGGGGCGUGUGUGGCGUCGGGUCGGGGUCCCCGCCGGGGCUCUCGCGGGGGGAUGUGCGUCGGGACUGCUUCUAGGGGGUGGAGUGAUGCUGGGGUGGGGAGGGGCCUGCCUUGUUCCUUCCCGCCUUCUCCUCUCAGUGUCCCCAGGCUGGCCUCCUCCUGGGCUUCUUGUCACCCCGGUGUCUUUCUCACGCGUCCUCGGUCACCCUCUGGCCGCCUCCUGGGUGGGAGCCGUCGCGCCUUUCCCUCCCUCCGCCUCACUUGGUUGUCCGCGUGGUUUCCACGACUGACCUUCUGCUUUUCAGCUCCUACUUCCUUCCUGCGGCAGCACCCUGGCCUCUGGGCUGCCGCCGCGGCUCCUCCCCAGACCAGGGACUGGUGCCGGGCGGGCGGACACUGAGUAAAUUCUGAACACAUGGGUAACAGUUGGUGACCAGGCACGUCUGACCGUCGGGGGCGACACCCCCGUGUUCCUGGGCAGCUUGGCGGCGCGAAAUGCAUGGGCCAUAAAGAAAAAGGCUGCAGUGCUGAAAUGUUAAAUUCUCGCGUAUUUUAUAAAAUCUUCACAUGAAAAGACAAGCCACAGACAGAAAAUCUGUAACUGAGGAGAUGCUGCUCUCCUGAUAAAAAGAACGUGGACAAGUCAACCAGCACUGUCACAGCCCUGGCAUUCAGCACGAGCCCAACAACACUGCUGAUGGACGACAGAAAGAAGGACACACACAUAAGACAACUCGUGACCAUCUCACCCCCAGGUGGACAAGACCCAGGAGCCUGACCGUACCGAGUACUGGAGGGCGUGAGACCCGGUGGGGGCUAGUGGACUGCUGCUGUGGCCCGGGUGUCCCUCAGAUUUCAUGUGCUGAAUCUUCCCGCUAGGCCGUGAGAAUCGGAUCAGCGCCCUGAAAACAAGAGACUCCACAGCUCCCUCACCCGCUUACCCAUGUGAGCUCACAGCGAGGAAUUCACCACCCUCCACCGGGCCACACUGGCCACCUGAUCCCAUAGCUGCACGCACACACGUGCACGCAACAUACACAGCUCACGCGCAUGCACACGGACACACGUGCGUGUGCACACACGCGCAGCAUACAUGCGCACGCUUAGUCACGGGGACCAGGUGUUCGUUCCCUACAGGACAGGACAAGUCUGGGAUAUCCUAAUGGCGCCUGGGAGGGUCGCCUAACCCUCAGUGAUGGGGAGAAGAAGGACUGGCACGUGGAGGAGGAAGUGGCCUCCGCCGU